This 253-nucleotide ribosomal RNA is filed under the name uncultured bacterium. RNAcentral's name for it is "partial 16S ribosomal RNA". The stretch from base 27 to 253 matches the Rfam family "Bacterial small subunit ribosomal RNA", at positions 550 to 776 of the family's 1533-position model. The record is from RNAcentral.
UACCAGCACCCCGAGUGGUCGGGACGAUUAUUGGGCGUAAAGAGCUCGUAGGCGGUUUGUCGCGUCUGCUGUGAAAACCCGAGGCUCAACCUCGGGCCUGCAGUGGGUACGGGCAGACUAGAGUGCGGUAGGGGAGACUGGAAUUCCUGGUGUAGCGGUGAAAUGCGCAGAUAUCAGGAGGAACACCGGUGGCGAAGGCGGGUCUCUGGGCCGUAACUGACGCUGAGGAGCGAAAGCAUGGGGAGCGAACAGG